UAUUCGGAAUCAUCCGAGAGGCCGGUACAGAUCAAUAUAGGAUCUCGUAAGAAGUGUGUGCUUGGGCGUGCGAUCCGGGUCUCAAGCAGACUUGGAUCACGUCCCCAUACAUCUUGCAGAUCUAUGAUCUCGUGAACUCCAGCUCCAAUAGCGUAUAUUAAAGUUGUUGACGUUAAAAAGCUCGUAGUCGAACUUCGGCCUCUGGUGACUGGUCCGCCUUUUGGUGUGUACUGGGCUACCGGAGGCUUACCUCCUGGUGAUCUCGGAUGCUCUUCACUGGGUGUUCGGGGGAACCAGGGAUUUUACUUUGAAGAAAUUAGAGUGUUCAAAGCAGGUAUUUGCCUGAAUACAUUAGCAUGGAAUAAUAGAAUAGGACGUGCGGUCCUAUUUUGUUGGUUUCUAGGAUCGCCGUAAUGAUUAAUAGGGAUAGUCGGGGGCAUUUGUAUUACAUUGUCAGAGGUGAAAUUCUUGGAUUUAUUGAAGACUAACUACUGCGAAAGCAUUUGCCAAGGAUGUUUUCAUUAAUCAGUGAACGAAAGUUAGGGGAUCGAAGACGAUCAGAUACCGUCGUAGUCUUAACCAUAAACUAUGCCGACUAGGGAUCGGUGGGUGUUAUUAUUUUGACCUCAUCGGCACCUUACGAGAAAUCAAAGUUUUUGGGUUCUGGGGGGAGUAUGGUCGCAAGGCUGAAACUUAAAGGAAUUGACGGAAGGGCACCACCAGNNNNNNNNNNNNNNNNUUAAUUUGACUCAACACGGGGAAACUCACCAGGUCCAGACACAAUAAGGAUUGACAGAUUGAGAGCUCUUUCUUGAUUUUGUGGGUGGUGGUGCAUGGCCGUUCUUAGUUGGUGGAGUGAUUUGUCUGCUUAAUUGCGAUAACGAACGAGACCUUAACCUGCUAAAUAGCCAGGCCCGCUUUGGCGGGUCGCCGGCUUCUUAGAGGGACUAUCGGCUCAAGCCGAUGGAAGUUUGAGGCAAUAACAGGUCUGUGAUGCCCUUAGAUGUUCUGGGCCGCACGCGCGCUACACUGACAGAGCCAACGAGUUCAUCACCUUGGCCGGAAGGUCUGGGUAAUCUUGUUAAACUCUGUCGUGCUGGGGAUAGAGCAUUG
RNAcentral lists this ribosomal RNA (1113 nucleotides) under Heliconius cydno alithea. RNAcentral's name for it is "bacterial SSU rRNA". It matches the Rfam family "Eukaryotic small subunit ribosomal RNA", at positions 568 to 1586 of the family's 1831-position model. Lineage: Eukaryota; Metazoa; Arthropoda; Insecta; Lepidoptera; Nymphalidae. The record is from RNAcentral.